Long non-coding RNA from Daucus carota subsp. sativus, 536 nucleotides. RefSeq lists it as uncharacterized. The transcript is spliced from 3 exons. Lineage: Eukaryota; Viridiplantae; Streptophyta; Magnoliopsida; Apiales; Apiaceae. The record is from RefSeq and is a predicted model, not a curated record.
AUGGAAUAGUCCAUCCUUUUGCUCAUUCCAAUCCAUCAACUAACCAGACAAUCGAUUCAUUUUUGAAAGUGCGGGUUAGGCCCAUUCCAUUCACUCACGCUUUCCGCCUCUCUCACGCAUCUCUCUCCGCCUCUCUCUAUCGCCUCUCUCUCCGCCUCUCCCUCUCUCUCGCCUCUCUCUCCGCCUCUCUCUCUCUCUCUCGCAUCUCUCUCUCCUCUCUCUCUUCCUCGCAUCUCUCUCUUCCUUUUCUGCCUCUCCCCCUCUCUACACUCAGCUAAUCCUUAAUCUGGAAAGCAGCUAGAAUCUUCAAACCACGCAUCUCAACGAUUCCUUUUAUCAUUUGCAAUGAUAUUCAAACCUAAAUCAAUCUAAGCAUACAGAGCUGCUUAGCUAGAGCCUAGAAGCUGGUUCAUCAAGGUGUAAAGCUCUUUUAAAUUACAUUUCUACUCAUUUUUUCAAAGCCCAUAUAUCUUCCUAGUUUCUACUCCAGUCUCUUCGUCCAAGCUAGGCAGCCCCUGUCUUUGUAUUUCAUGAUG